This 73-nucleotide transfer RNA is filed under the name Peptococcaceae bacterium. RNAcentral's name for it is "tRNA-Thr". It matches the Rfam family "tRNA". Rfam says of the family: Transfer RNA (tRNA) molecules are approximately 80 nucleotides in length. Their secondary structure includes four short double-helical elements and three loops (D, anti-codon, and T loops). The record is from RNAcentral. Lineage: Bacteria; Bacillati; Bacillota; Clostridia; Eubacteriales; Peptococcaceae.
GCUUGUAUAGCUCAGUCGGUAGAGCGUUACCUUGGUAAGGUAAAGGUCACCAGUUCGAUUCUGGUUACAAGCU